Molecule: ribosomal RNA, 92 nt
Filed under: uncultured archaeon
Lineage: Archaea
Description: partial 16S ribosomal RNA
Source: RNAcentral
CUAUGGGGGGCAGCAGGCGGGAAAACUUUGCAAAGAGAGGAAACCCGGCCAGGGUAAUUCAAGUGGAUUUGGUAAAGAAAGUCUUUCCUCUU